AUGAUGAUGCAGCAAAUAUUUGGUCAAGCAUUUGGAUUUAGCUGUGGUGUUCAAACAUAUCAAUCCCCUGUCCCUGCAGAAGUAGGAUACAAUCAAUCCACUGCAGCUGAGACUAGCCACUGGACAAUGGCUGAUAAUGGAGAGAUAGACUGUUUCUCAACCAUGGCAAGUACACCAAUUUUAACAGUGAAGACCCUUCAUAUCAAUUCAGCGAUUCUUGCUGCAAGAAGUCGUUUCUUUCUAAAGCUUUUCUCAAAUGGCAUGAAUGAAUCUGAUCAGACGCAUCCAAGAAUCAGGAUUGCUGAUUCAGAGGAAAAAGCCUUUAUGGAGCUUUUAAGCUUCAUGUACAGUGGAAAGUUGACAACAAUUGAGCCCACUCUUCUGCUCGACAUCUUAAUGGCUGCCGACAAAUUUGAGGUUCUUUCUUGCAUGAGGUACUGCAGUCAGUUGCUCAGAAGCCUGCCUAUGACCACAGAAUCUGCACUGCUAUACCUCGAUCAUCCAUGCUCCCUUUCAAUGGCUGCUGAAGUUCAGAGUGUGGUAGGUGCAGCCAAGGAAUUCCUUGCCGAGAAAUACAAGAUUUUAGACAAGUUUGAAGAAGUGAUGAACAUCUCUCUUUCUGGAAUCGAGGCGAUCUUUUCGAGCACUGACAUACAAGUAGCAUCUGAAGAUGCGGUAUAUAACUUCUUGCUCGAGUGGGCCCGUGCGCGAUACCUGGAACCGGAGGAAAGACGCGGGAUCUUGAGCAGCCGUUUGCUUCCGCUGGUACGCUUCAGUCAUAUGACAUGUGCCGCUCUUCAGGAGAUCCUAGCAUGCACUGAUGAUGAUAUAGACCGUGAGCAAGUAACCAAGCGCAUCAAUGAGGUCCUCCUCCACAAAGCUUACCCAACCCAGAUGGAAGGUGCUCUUGCAGCAGAUGUAUCAACUCUCGAUUGGCAAUCUGCUGAGCGAACUUACGGGUCCAAACAUGUGAAAGCGGUUGUGUUUGAUCGACCUUGCCCACAGGUUAUAGUUUACAUGGAUCUAACCCGCGACGAGUGCUCCCGAUUCUUCCCAUCAGGAGUUAUAUUGUCGGACUGGUUCCAUCUCGCAGGUCAGAAAUUCUAUCUCAUGGCAGACUGUGUACUGGAUGAGCAGACAGAGUUGUACAGCUUUGGCCUCUGGCUAGGGAUAUAUGGAAAUUCUGUUUCAGGCUCGUCGUGUUUCGAUGUUGAGUUUGCUGCAAGGACAAGAUCGUCAGGAAAAUUCUUGAGCAAGUACGUCGGUAGGCACACAUUCAGCGGGUCUUUGCUGGAGGGAUGUGAUGAUCUUUUUGGAGUUCCAUGGUCGACGUUCAUUGCGGACGACAGCCUCUUCAUCGACGGCGUGCUGCAUCUGAGAGUUGAUCUGACUGUGGUGGAGCAGCCUGAAUUACAGACCUGA
RNAcentral lists this ribosomal RNA (1422 nucleotides) under Triticum aestivum (bread wheat). RNAcentral's name for it is "partial small subunit ribosomal RNA". The record is from RNAcentral. Lineage: Eukaryota; Viridiplantae; Streptophyta; Magnoliopsida; Poales; Poaceae.